UGGAGCACGCAGGUUGUUCCUGGUUACAGCAACGUCGCCUGAUUCAAGAGUUGACUAGGUGCGCCACUAAUUCGGUCUAGUCACUAGUGCACGCAGUCGUCGCCCGCAACUUUGGACCCCGAUAACUCCCAGAGAAAACUAGGCCAGAAGUAUGCACUGACUUGCCUGUCAAUCACCGGUUUAAUUACGUAGUACAAUUAUUACGUGCGAAGCAACACCGGCUGUCACCACCACCAACCGUACAGCACUAACCAUGUGAGAUAGUAUCACGGCCGCGCCGGCCGGCACGUAGUGGCGCCAUCUAUCGGACGACGGCGACGUUUUUCUGUCGGUGGAAGCAAGCUGCGCCCGUUGGUGGACGCGCGGCGGAACGCCCGCACGGGUACGUGGCGGUGACGGUGCAGUGGGAGGAUCCGAGAAUCUGCCGAGGAAUACAAGGAGGAGGAAUCCUUCGUGUCCAAGGAGAAAACAACAAGGAUAUCGGAGAAAGGUCGGCGCCCCGCACGUAUCCGUGUCGUCCCCUGCAGGUCUAGACGGGGCCGCCCGGACGGCUACGUGCCGCCGUUUGUCAGGUCAAGGUCAAGGUGACAGCAAAAUACUCGGCCCUCUGCAGUGUACUAGUUCUAUUUUUUCCGAGAAAAACGGGUAUUUAUUCCUCUGAAAUAGCAUUAGAGUCUGCUAAUACAAGCUUUUUUUAUGCUGUUUGAAACCUGAUGCAAUGAAUAAGCGGUGCUACAUCCAUUUUUCCCUAUAUUAACUAGACUACGCGUAACAUUAUUUUGCUUACAAUCAGUUGCUUACAAUCAAAUCUUACAAUGAAAUCUUAC
RNAcentral lists this long non-coding RNA (827 nucleotides) under Hordeum vulgare. RNAcentral describes it as "long non-coding RNA (HVUL_LNC001565)". Lineage: Eukaryota; Viridiplantae; Streptophyta; Magnoliopsida; Poales; Poaceae. The record is from RNAcentral.